Schizosaccharomyces pombe (fission yeast) is the source of this 356-nucleotide non-coding RNA. The record is from the annotation of a GenBank genome assembly. Lineage: Eukaryota; Fungi; Ascomycota; Schizosaccharomycetes; Schizosaccharomycetales; Schizosaccharomycetaceae.
AAGCGCCAUUGAAACUGUUUACAAUUUAUAACGCCUAAAUAGUUUUACAAACGAAAAAAAAAAAACUUGUUGAAAGAGUAUACAGAAGUUGAUUACUGAAUUCAGUAAAACUAAUUCCUACAGAACUGAUUUACUGCAAGUUUUCCAUAAAGGGAUAUUGUUACAAUAAAUCGCUAUACGGAGCUGAUUGAAGGAUAUUAUUAAAUCUUUUUAUUAUAGGAAUACCCGUAAGAUGAUAUUUACUAAAUAUUAAAUCCUUAAUGAGGAUAUCGGUUUUAAGGAGUUAUAGUGGGUUUUCGAUUAAAUGUAGUCAAAUAGUAAAUUUUCGAAAUGGAAUGGCAAAACCAGUUAUAUUU